This 253-nucleotide ribosomal RNA is filed under the name uncultured bacterium. Its description in RNAcentral is "partial 16S ribosomal RNA". It matches the Rfam family "Bacterial small subunit ribosomal RNA", at positions 524 to 776 of the family's 1533-position model. The record is from RNAcentral.
UACAGAGGUGGCAAGCGUUGUUCGGAAUUACUGGGCGUAAAGAGUGUGUAGGCGGUGUUCCCAGUCUGUUGUGAAAUCUCCCGGCUUAACUGGGAGGGUGCAGCGGAAACUAGAAUGCUAGAGGGUGGGAGAGGUAAGCGGAAUUCCUGGUGUAGCGGUGAAAUGCGUAGAUAUCAGGAAGAACACCGGUGGCGAAGGCGCUCUGCUAGGCCGCAACUGACACUGAGGGACGAAAGCUAGGGGAGCGAAUGGG